AACGAACGCUGGCGGCAGGCUUGACACAUGCAAGUCGAACGCCCCGCAAGGGGAGUGGCAGACGGGUGAGUAACGCGUGGGAAUCUACCCAUCCCUACGGAACAACUCCGGGAAACUGGAGCUAAUACCGUAUACGCCCUACGGGGGAAAGAUUUAUCGGGGAUGGAUGGGCCCGCGUUGGAUUAGCUAGUUGGUGGGGUAAAGGCCUACCAAGGCGACGAUCCAUAGCUGGUUUGAGAGGAUGAUCAGCCACAUUGGGACUGAGACACGGCCCAAACUCCUACGGGAGGCAGCAGUGGGGAAUAUUGGACAAUGGGCGCAAGCCUGAUCCAGCCAUGCCGCGUGAGUGAUGAAGGUCUUAGGAUUGUAAAGCUCUUUCACCGAUGAAGAUAAUGACGGUAGUCGGAGAAGAAGCCCCGGCUAACUUCGUGCCAGCCGCCGCGGUAA
This 447-nucleotide ribosomal RNA is filed under the name uncultured bacterium. RNAcentral describes it as "partial 16S ribosomal RNA". It matches the Rfam family "Bacterial small subunit ribosomal RNA", at positions 29 to 523 of the family's 1533-position model. The record is from RNAcentral.